GUAGGGGGCAAGCGUUGUCCGGAUUUAUUGGGCGUAAAGAGCGUGUAGGCGGCUUGGUAGGUCCGCUGUGAAAACUCGAGGCUCAACCUCGAGAUGUCGGCGGAGACCACUUGGCUAGAGUCCGGAAGAGGAGAGUGGAAUUCCCGGUGUAGCGGUGAAAUGCGCAGAUAUCGGGAAGAACACCUAUGGCGAAGGCAGCUCUCUGGGACGGUACUGACGCUGAGACGCGAAAGCGUGGGGAGCGAACAGGAUUAGAUACCCUGGUAGUCCACGCCGUAAACGAUGGGUGCUAGGUGUGGGCGGUGUCGACUCCGUCCGUGCCGAAGCUAACGCAUUAAGCACCCCGCCUGGGGAGUACGGCCGCAAGGCUA
This 371-nucleotide ribosomal RNA is filed under the name uncultured bacterium. Its description in RNAcentral is "bacterial SSU rRNA". It matches the Rfam family "Bacterial small subunit ribosomal RNA", at positions 527 to 896 of the family's 1533-position model. The record is from RNAcentral.